This 284-nucleotide ribosomal RNA is filed under the name Naganishia globosa. RNAcentral describes it as "partial large subunit ribosomal RNA". It matches the Rfam family "Eukaryotic large subunit ribosomal RNA", at positions 210 to 487 of the family's 3401-position model. Lineage: Eukaryota; Fungi; Basidiomycota; Tremellomycetes; Filobasidiales; Filobasidiaceae. The record is from RNAcentral.
GGGUGAGAAUCCCGUCCUUGACAUGGACCCCCAAUGCUUUGUGAUACACUUUCAACGAGUCGAGUUGUUUGGGAAUGCAGCUCAAAAUGGGUGGUGAAUUCCAUCUAAAGCUAAAUAUUGGCGAGAGACCGAUAGCGAACAAGUACCGUGAGGGAAAGAUGAAAAGCACUUUGGAAAGAGAGUUAAACAGUACGUGAAAUUGUUGAAAGGGAAACGAUUGAAGUCAGUCAUGCUCUUUGGAUUAAGCCGUUCUGCGGUGUAUUUCAUUGAGCGGGGUCAACAUC